RNAcentral lists this ribosomal RNA (474 nucleotides) under uncultured bacterium. Its description in RNAcentral is "bacterial SSU rRNA". It matches the Rfam family "Bacterial small subunit ribosomal RNA", at positions 33 to 507 of the family's 1533-position model. The record is from RNAcentral.
GACGACGCUGGCGGCGUGCCUAACACAUGCAAGUCGAGCGGGGUUGAAGCGAGAGGUAACUCGAACUUCUACCUAGCGGCGGACGGGUGAGUAACGCGUGGGCAACCUGCCUCAAGGUCUGGGAUAACAGCCCGAAAGGGCUGCUAAUACUGGGUAUGCUUGUGGCCUCGCAUGGGGCUAUGAGCAAAGGGGAAACCCGCCUUGAGAUGGGCCCGCGUCCCAUCAGCUAGUUGGUGAGGUAACAGCUCACCAAGGCGACGACGGGUAGCCGGCCUGAGAGGGUGACCGGCCACAUUGGGACUGAGACACGGCCCAGACUCCUACGGGGGGCAGCAGUGGGGGAUCUUGCACAAUGGGCGAAAGCCUGAUGCAGCGACGCCGCGUGAGCGAAGAAGGCCUUCGGGUUGUAAAGCUCUGUCUGGAGGGACGAAGGAAGUGACGGUACCUCCGGAGGAAGCCACGGCUAACUACGUG